Molecule: small RNA, 890 nt
Filed under: Cryptococcus neoformans H99
Lineage: Eukaryota; Fungi; Basidiomycota; Tremellomycetes; Tremellales; Cryptococcaceae
Description: Cryptococcus neoformans var. grubii H99 hypothetical RNA
Source: RNAcentral
UCACGCACAGCGUGGAAACCCUAUCACACUACACUGCCUGAAUUCACUACUAACUUGAAUCUUUAUCGCCGAGCCAAAUCCCUCACUUCCUCGAUCAAACCCUUUUCCUUCUUCUUAACCAUUGCCAUCUUCAACUUCUUCUUCUUCCUCUCAUCUUUCACCUUCUUCCACCCAAUCUUACUCAACCUCCUCUCCAGUUCUCCUGAGAGACGCAUCUCUUCAAGGGUCUUCAGAUCUCCCAAAAUGGGCUCAUUGCCGAUCAUGACGAUUGGCGAGUCCGCUGUAGCCGGCAGACCUAGACGAGCUAGGAUAGAAAGAAUAACAUCACGGUCUGGCCGGGAGUGGAGAGGGAUGUAAGUGAUAUGUCGGUUGGAUGAGUGGGAAGAGGCGAUGAUAUCGAUUACGUCAUGUGGGGGUUGUUUACGUCUAUCCAAAGUGUGAAGAGGAGGUUAAGGACAAAAGGAAAUGAGAAGAAGAGGGAAUGUCAGCCAAACGCUCUUCUGUUGCUACCCCUUCCCGAAAAUUGGGAAGAGGAAAUACUGAAAGAUAAGAGGCGAGCUCACCCAUUACCGCCAAACCAAACGACAACCUCAUCGUCCCACUCACUCUCAAUAUCCUUCAACCACUCCUCUCCCACCUCUCCUUCCUCUUUCCCUUGCUUAUCGUUCGUGCCACCCAACCCAGCCUCUCCACCAGACUUCUUCGCCGCUGCACUAAUACCAAGUAUUGUGUUCGCAUCCAACGGUUUCGAGGGAUCAACGUUCUCAGUUCAUGUGACGCUGGGAUGGGCCGGGGGCGGAGGGCUGGGCGGGUGGUUUUUGGGGGGGCUAAUUAGAUUGAACGAAAGAUAAAGACAGAUGUUAGGAUGAAUUACACAUGUCAUAUUGAGG